RNAcentral lists this ribosomal RNA (242 nucleotides) under Chaetoceros curvisetus. Its description in RNAcentral is "partial Bacterial large subunit ribosomal RNA". It matches the Rfam family "Bacterial large subunit ribosomal RNA", at positions 496 to 742 of the family's 2925-position model. The record is from RNAcentral. Lineage: Eukaryota; Bacillariophyta; Thalassiosirophyceae; Chaetocerotales; Chaetocerotaceae.
CAGUACCGUGAGGGAAAGGUGAAAAGCACCCCGACAAGGGGAGUGAAAGAGUUCCUGAAACCGGAUGCUUACAAACAGUUGGAGGGCGCAAGCCUGACAGCGUACCUUUUGUAUAAUGGGUCAGCGACUUAAUCUGACGAGCAAGCUUAAACCGUUAGGUGUAGGCGUAGCGAAAGCGAGUCUUAAUAGGGCGAAUGAGUUAGGUGGAUCAGACCCGAAACCGAGUGAUCUAGGCAUGACCA